UUGUGGAGGAGGACGCCGAAGGUGGGGCUAAUGACUGGGGUGAAGUCGUAACAAGGUAGCCGUACCGGAAGGUGCGGCUGGAUCACCUCCUAACAGGGAGACAACAAAAUGUUAAAUAUUAAUUUUGUCACCUUAGGUCGAUCGGUAUCUCACAUUCUUAAUCAAUUUAAGAAUUUUAUUUCCUAAGUUUUUCUAGGUCACACCCAUCAUUUUCCCUGGGCCAUUAGCUCAGGUGGUUAGAGCGCACCCCUGAUAAGGGUGAGGUCCCUGGUUCAAGUCCAGGAUGGCCCAUAUCUCUAUGUUGGGGGUAUAGCUCAGUUGGUAGAGCGCCUGCUUUGCAAGCAGGAUGUCAGCGGUUCGAGUCCGCUUACCUCCACUGAUUACCACCUCUUCCAUAAUUUAAAGAAGGGAAAUUUUAGGUUGUGAUCUAAUUCUGGACGAAUCUAGCUUCCUAAUUAAACUUAUUAAGAUGCUGGACUCAUUGAAUUAAUUUCAUUGUUUUCAGAGAACCUUGACAACUGCAUAGAUUAUUUUUAAAGACAAUAAGCAUCUUUAAUGAUGCAGAUUUAUUAUUUGUGCUAAUGCAUUAAUAACAAUUCUAUUAAGCUGAUGCUUCAUUUUGAAGUUAUUGGUCAAGCUACAA
RNAcentral lists this unclassified non-coding RNA (643 nucleotides) under uncultured Prochlorococcus sp. RNAcentral's name for it is "partial 16S-23S ribosomal RNA intergenic spacer; may also contain 16S ribosomal RNA and 23S ribosomal RNA". The stretch from base 304 to 376 matches the Rfam family "tRNA". Lineage: Bacteria; Bacillati; Cyanobacteriota; Cyanophyceae; Synechococcales; Prochlorococcaceae. The record is from RNAcentral.